Anas platyrhynchos (mallard) is the source of this 2345-nucleotide non-coding RNA. The record is from RefSeq and is a predicted model, not a curated record. NCBI's taxonomy places the organism in Eukaryota, Metazoa, Chordata, Aves, Anseriformes, Anatidae.
AUAUCUUGACAAACAAAAUCAUGAUCAGUACAAAGGAGAGCCAUGACUGGUGUACCCUGUUUGCCAUCAGCCAAACCUGCUACAGUUUCCAGAACCAGCAGCAUGUCAUCACAUCAGAUAAGACUUCUGGGGUCAAACUGCUAAUGUGCAUGUCAGGGUCUGACUGCAGAGAUGCUGAGCAAGGAGCUUUUCUCUGUGCAGAUUCAAAGGCUUGUUCGCAAAAGGGUGCAUUCCUCCUACAGAACCAUCUCUCCUGUCUCAGCCACCACACAAUCACCUGUGCCAAAAACAACUGAAGAAAAACAAACAGCAGAUCUGCUAAAAGUCCACUAUGUACUAGGCUUUCUAGGCAAGGCCUUCUAACAAAGCAUUUUUUGUUCUCUGUUCCUACAGCUUCUAGCACAUGACCAGGGCUGUAAAUUACUCUCGAGUACCAGUAAUAAAUCCCAUCUCUGCUUCUCUCAGAGUUAAACGCAGCCAGCUUUGAAACUGGUAUGCCCAUGCAGAUCCAGGCAAGGUUCUCCUUUAUUCGGGAAGGAAGGAUGACUUGUACAGGCAGUGGUUUUGGGUAGCAUGAGGAUGGCUUUGCUCAUGUCCUCCAGGAGAGGCAGAGCGAUGCUCCUGGUGGGAGCUGGGGCCUUGGGUUGGCUCCCUGCUCUCAGAGGGUCUGCUCAAGGGGAGAAUGCAGCUUUGUGCCAUUGAGGCCAGCACCACAGCUAGUUAAAGCAGAUGAACUGCAGUGAUUGUGUUUGGCUGAGUCAAGGGGGUGUUCUGCAUGCUCUGGUGCUGAUGGGUCUCAGGAUUUAAUCAGAAGCUUGGCAAUAUUUGUUAUUGUGGUGGCUCAAGGAAUAAUUCAAAUCAAAAACGUUGAUCCCUAUGCAUCCUAAAUCUGACUGGGAAGAAUCUCAGCUUUAUUUUAGCAACUCACAUUUUAAUGUGCCAUAAUAACAGUUACAAAUAAUGAAACUGAGCUCCUAGAAAAUAAGGUAGAAGAACAAGAAAUGGCUGUGAAUUCUCCCGCUCUGAAGCUAAGGAAAGUGCAGUAAAAAGCUGAGAAAAGGUGCAGACAAGCCAUGCCCCCACUGUACAAGAGCCGUCAGCGGCUGCAGAAAAUGACAUCUGGCCUGGGAUAAUCUGCCUGCGCACACAAUGGCUUUAUGCGAGGGAAAUGCCACUGAUCUCAGAGGACUUGUUCCAGAUUUAGCUCCAGGAUCAGGAGAGUGGCUGCAGCUCAGCCUCGCCGGGGGCAGCUGCUCCAGGCUGUCUGUCCCGAAGCCUCGAGCAUCCUCCGGGCUGGCUCUGGGUUUCACGGAGCAGGGCAGCCUGCUGGCAUCGUGCCUUGUGCUGCACUGAGCUGGAGGGGGGCAGGACAGGACCUUGUGUUGGCUGAAUGAACCGUCUCCUUCCCAGAGCAGAAAUCUGGCCUGCUCCAGCUUCUUGACACGUCCCAGCCUGGUGCUGAUGGCCAAAAUAUUACCAGUGGUUUUGCACUAAACAGCACUGAACAGACUUUGCACUAAAUGUCCUGCUUGACAGUUGUGAAAGAUCUUCCUAGGAAUCGGCUUCCUCUUCUUGCUACGUGAACAUCACUUUCAACGUUAUUAAAAGUUGUACCAAAAAUAAUUUAUCCUUUAAAAACAGAAAGAACAGGAAUCUAUUUGUGUUUAGUCAGUGGCUAAUUGUUUUCCUUAUUUUGUUGCAUGGUUGUUCAUGGUAGUAAGGAUUUCAACGUAAAAUGUAGCAAGUUGUUAAAUCAAUGUGCUUUGAAAGAAAUUUUAAAAAGCAUUUUCACUGCCUGAACUGUAUCUUUUUGCAUAUAUCCAAAUAUUUCAAUUGUUAGAAGGAUUAAUAUGACAAUGUAAGGGCUUUCUGGUCUUAGGUAUUGCCUUGCUUUUAAAUCAGUGUCCCAAUAACAAGACAUUUAACAUCAACAGGUAGUCUGUGUUAAAUUCAGGAAGAAUAGGAGACUCAAGACUCUUUUGCUUUAUUUAUAUAGCAUCCAAAUCCAGAUUUUUAAAAACUCUGGUGUUAUAUUACCUAUCCAAGGAUGUACUUACACAGUAAAGGCAUCUUGGCCAAGGUGCUUGGGAAUAGCUGUUCCUGGCAAAGGAAUCAAGCUUGAGCCCUGAGCCUUGAGGACUCUUGCAUAGCCAGGGCAUGCAGAUGGGCACAAUGCUCCCUUCCAGGCCUUGCUUUGCUUGGAUAAGCAGCUAAACUCUUACACUCUCCUUUCUACACCUUUGCCUAUGAUUUCACUUCUCUUGUUCUUGGGUGACCAUAACAUCACAUGACAUCCCAAAUUCAGUAGUGAUACGAGCACUCCAUUAUCCCCACUGAAAAUACCA